AGGAUAAACGCUGGCGGCGUGCCUAACACAUGCAAGUCGAACGCGCUUUCGGGCUUCGGUGCGAGAGCGAGUGGCGGACGGGUGAGUAACACAUGGGUACCUACCUUGGAGUGAGGGAUACCGGCGAGAAAUCGCCGACAAUACCGCAUAGGCUUCUUCACAAGGGAAGCAAAGUGACGCGAGUCACGCUGUGAGAUGGGCCUGUGGCCGAUUAGCUAGUUGGGGGGGUAACGGCUUCCCAAGGCGACGAUCGGUAGCUGGUCUGAGAGGACGAUCAGCCACACUGGGAUUGAGAACGGCCCAGACUCCUACGGGGGGCAGCAGUGAGGAAUUUUCCGCAAUGGAGGCAACUCUGACGGAGCAACGCCGCGUGCAGGAGGAAGGUUUUCGGAUCGUAAACUGCUUUUCGUCGGGGACGAGCAAGGACGGUACCCGAGGAACGAAGCCCCGGCUAACUACGUGCCAGCAGCCGC
Molecule: ribosomal RNA, 473 nt
Filed under: uncultured bacterium
Lineage: Bacteria
Description: SSU rRNA
Rfam family: Bacterial small subunit ribosomal RNA
Source: RNAcentral